This 465-nucleotide ribosomal RNA is filed under the name uncultured bacterium. RNAcentral's name for it is "partial 16S ribosomal RNA". It matches the Rfam family "Bacterial small subunit ribosomal RNA", at positions 28 to 507 of the family's 1533-position model. The record is from RNAcentral.
GACGAACGCUGGCGGCGUGCCUAACACAUGCAAGUCGAACGGAAAGGCCCCUUUCUUGGUACUCGAGUGGCGGCCGGGUGCGUAACACUAACGUAACGUUCCCCUGCCUUUGGGAUAACUUCAGGAAACUGGGGCUAAUACUGGUACGGAAUACUAGCUUCAUGGUCGGGGUUGGAAAGCUCCGGGGGGUUUUGCUGGACUCGAGGCUUAUCGGCUUGUUGGUGGGGUAGUGGAUUACCAACGCGUUGACGGGUGGCCGGCCUGAGGGGGCGACCGGCGACAUAGGGUCUGAGGGACGGCCCAGGCGGCUACGGGAGGCAACAGGGGGGAAUAUUGCACAAUGAGCGCGAGCCUGAUGCAGAAGCGCCGCGUGCGGGAUAACGGUCUUCGGGGUGAAAACCGUUUUCAGCAGGGGCGGAGCAUGUGGUGACGGUACCUGCAGAAGAAGCAACGGCUAACUACGUG